RNAcentral lists this ribosomal RNA (794 nucleotides) under uncultured Gammaproteobacteria bacterium. RNAcentral describes it as "bacterial SSU rRNA". It matches the Rfam family "Bacterial small subunit ribosomal RNA", at positions 60 to 847 of the family's 1533-position model. Lineage: Bacteria; Pseudomonadati; Pseudomonadota; Gammaproteobacteria. The record is from RNAcentral.
AGUCGAGCGGAUGAAGGGAGCUUGCUCCCGGAUUUAGCGGCGGACGGCCGAUUAAUGCCUAGGAAUCUGCCUGGUAGUGGGGGACAACGACUCGAAAGGGUCGCUAAUACCGCAUACGUCCUACGGGAGAAAGUGGGGGAUCUUCGGACCUCACGCUAUCAGAUGAGCCUAGGUCGGAUUAGCUAGUAGGUGAGGUAAUGGCUCACCUAGGCAACGAUCCGUAACUGGUCUGAGAGGAUGAUCGGUCACACUGGAACUGAGACACGGUCCAGACUCCUACGGGAGGCAGCAGUGGGGAAUAUUGGACAAUGGGCGAAAGCCUGAUCCAGCCAUGCCGCGUGUGUGAAGAAGGUCUUCGGAUUGUAAAGCACUUUAAGUUGGGAGGAAGGGUUGUAGUUUAAUACGCUGCAAUCUUGACGUUACCAACAGAAUAAGCACCGGCUAACUCUGUGCCAGCAGCCGCGGUAAUACAGAGGGUGCAAGCGUUUAUCGGAAUUACUGGGCGUAAAGCGCGCGUAGGCGGCUUGAUAAAAUGGGAGUGAAAUCCCCGGGCUUAACCUGGGAACUGCAUCCAUAACUGUCUGGCUAGAGUACAGUAAAAGGUGGGGGAAUUUCCUGUGUAGCGGUGAAAUGCGUAAAUUUUGGGAGGGAACACCCGUGGCGAAGGCGACCACCUGGACUGAUACUGACCCUGAGGGGCAAAAGCGUGGGGGAGCAAACGGAUUAAAUUCCCCGGGUAGUCCACCCCGAAAACAAUGUCUACUAGCCUUUGGAAUCCUUGAAAUUUUAUGGGC